Gekko japonicus is the source of this 1084-nucleotide long non-coding RNA. RefSeq lists it as uncharacterized. The transcript is spliced from 2 exons. Lineage: Eukaryota; Metazoa; Chordata; Lepidosauria; Squamata; Gekkonidae. The record is from RefSeq and is a predicted model, not a curated record.
GGGGACCAAGCAGAAGCACACAAACAGCUUCACCUGAUCCUGGUUCCAUCUCUUGUCUUCUCUGUCUUCAAGAAUCAGACUCACCUCCAUAACUCAGACAUGGCUUACUGCGGACCAUCCUACGCCAUUCCAUCCUGUGCCUCCUCUCCAGUUGUCGGUUUUGGGUCGGCAAGUCAUGGUUUUCACACUCAGGGAUCUGGCUUUGGAUAUGGCCCCUUAGCGGCAAGUGGGGUGCCCUCAGCUAGUCUUGGAGUGCUUUCCGGGGUCGAGCCUUCUUGCAUCAACCAGAUCCCACCUGCCGAAAUUGUGGUCCAGCCACCCGCCGUCGUCAUGACCAUCCCAGGACCCAUCCUCUCUGCCACCGGUCAACCAGUUUCUGUGGGGGGCAUCAGUCCAUGUGCUGUUAGCUAUGGUUCAUCUGUCGUUGGGGGUCCUUCUCUCAGGGGUGGUUCUCUCGGGGGUGGUCUUCUCGGGGGUGGGGCCCUUGGGGCUGGAAGUCUUGGGCACCGUUAUGGUUUUGGCGGUAGGAGCGGCGCCAUCCUUGGGCGUCGAGGCAGUAUCUGCUCACCCUGUCAUUAAAUUCUUCUGGACGGUCUUUGCAGGAAAGAUGAAAUCUGCAGAAUCCAUGGAGGAGAAGACAGGCCUGGGUUAGGGGUGCCAAGUGCCUUCGGUUUCACCUGCUAGACCUUUUCAUCCUUUUUAAAAAAAUCUAACAUUUCCCUACUUUCUCAUAUGCUGCUUUCUGCUGUCUCCAAUGAGAAGUUGUUUUUAUUGAUUGAUUUCUGCAAGGGCCUUUUACGCACUCUUCCGCAGAGUAAAGAACAAAGAGGACGAGAAGAAGGAACUCUGUUCAUGAAAUCUGCACUUAACUGGAUUGCUAAUUCCGGGUAAAGAAGGACUUUUGACGGUGAUGUAAAAUAGACCAGCAGUCUCUCUCUUCUAAAAAAAAGAUUAUUCUGGGGAAUCCGGUCACUCCUUUACGUUCCUUUUAAGCUUUGACCUGUCAAAAUUGCUUACUGGAGAACUGUUUCCACAAAUACCUCCUCCCCCCUCAUUACAAAUAAAACUUACUCUGCAUCAUAAA